Non-coding RNA from Triticum urartu, 134 nucleotides. The record is from Rfam. NCBI's taxonomy places the organism in Eukaryota, Viridiplantae, Streptophyta, Magnoliopsida, Poales, Poaceae.
CAACUACUCCCUCUAUCCCAAAUUUUUGUCUUAGAUUUGUCUAGAUACGGAUGUAUCUAAUACUAAAAUGUGACUUGAUACAUCCGUAUCUAGACAAAUCAAAAACAAGAUUUUUGGGACGGAGGGAGUACUUU